CUCCACGGCACAUUUAAAAUCACAGUGGAGGAGACAAAGGUACAUGAAAAAGACAAACGCAAGGAAACAGUGAUGUUAUACCUGUUAGGGAUUGUCUUUGGCCUAAUUUGCAUCAUCAUGUGCAUGUCAUAUGGUCUUGAUCAGAUUUACAAGAAUGCAUCUUGAUAUUUUUACAUUGGAUGGAAAAGGCCAUUCUAUAAUUGUAGGGAAUUAUAUGGCGACAGUGUCUCUUCCA
This is a non-coding RNA of Electrophorus electricus (electric eel), 235 nucleotides long. NCBI's taxonomy places the organism in Eukaryota, Metazoa, Chordata, Actinopteri, Gymnotiformes, Gymnotidae. The record is from RefSeq and is a predicted model, not a curated record.